Non-coding RNA from Podarcis lilfordi (Lilford's wall lizard), 76 nucleotides. The record is from the annotation of a GenBank genome assembly. NCBI's taxonomy places the organism in Eukaryota, Metazoa, Chordata, Lepidosauria, Squamata, Lacertidae.
GCCUUGAGGAUAGCUCAGUCUGUAGGACAUGAGACUCUUAAACUCAAGGUUGUGGGUUUGAGCCCCAAGUUGGGCG